UCCCAGACUCCUACGGGAGGCAGCAGUGGGGAAUAUUGCGCAAUGGGGGCAACCCUGACGCAGCAACGCCGCGUGCGGGAUGAAGGCUUUCGGGUUGUAAACCGCUUUCAGCAGGGAUGACAUCGACAGUACCUGCAGAAGAAGCCCCGGCUAACUACGUGCCAGCAGCCGCGGUAAUACGUAGGGGGCGAGCGUUAUCCGGAUUCAUUGGGCGUAAAGCGCGCGCAGGCGGGCUUGCAAGCGGGGCCUUUAAUCUUGGGGCUUAACCUCAAGUCGGGUUCCGAACUGCAAGCCUCGAGUGUGGUAGGGGAAGGCGGAAUUCCCGGUGUAGCGGUGGAAUGCGCAGAUAUCGGGAAGAACACCGAUGGCGAAGGCAGCCUCCUGGGCCACUACUGACGCUGAGGCGCGAAAGCUGGGGGAGCGAACAGGAUUAGAUACCCUUGUA
RNAcentral lists this ribosomal RNA (445 nucleotides) under uncultured bacterium. RNAcentral describes it as "bacterial SSU rRNA". It matches the Rfam family "Bacterial small subunit ribosomal RNA", at positions 329 to 792 of the family's 1533-position model. The record is from RNAcentral.